Molecule: unclassified non-coding RNA, 154 nt
Filed under: uncultured Tremellomycetes
Lineage: Eukaryota; Fungi; Basidiomycota; Tremellomycetes
Description: sequence contains ITS2
Source: RNAcentral
AAUCUCAUCCCAUCGGGUUUCCGAUGAGGUUGGACUUGGGUGUUGCCGUCUGGCUCGCCUUAAAGGAGUUAGCGAUCUACAGUUUGAUCUGGCGUAAUAAGUUUCGCUGGCGACGACUUGACGACCGCUUCUAAUCGUCUUCUGACAUUUUUUG